RNAcentral lists this ribosomal RNA (253 nucleotides) under uncultured bacterium. Its description in RNAcentral is "partial 16S ribosomal RNA". It matches the Rfam family "Bacterial small subunit ribosomal RNA", at positions 524 to 776 of the family's 1533-position model. The record is from RNAcentral.
UACGAAGGGGGCUAGCGUUGUUCGGAAUUACUGGGCGUAAAGAGUGUGUAGGCGGUGCUCUAAGUUCGUUGUGAAAUCUCCCGGCUUAACUGGGAGGGUGCGGCGGAAACUGGAGUGCUUGAGCGCGGGAGAGGAAAGCGGAAUUCCUGGUGUAGCGGUGAAAUGCGUAGAUAUCAGGAGGAACACCUGUGGUGUAGACGGCUUUCUGGACCGUAGCUGACGCUGAGACACGAAAGCGUGGGUAGCAAACAGG